Molecule: ribosomal RNA, 895 nt
Filed under: uncultured Pseudomonadota bacterium
Lineage: Bacteria; Pseudomonadati; Pseudomonadota
Description: bacterial SSU rRNA
Rfam family: Bacterial small subunit ribosomal RNA
Source: RNAcentral
CGAGUCCAGGUCCUUCGGGACUGAGGCGAGUGGCGGACGGGUGAGUAACACGUGAGCAAUCUAUCCUGUUGCGGGGGACAACGAGGGGAAACCUUCGCUAAUACCGCAUAGUCGAGAGAUCCGCCUGGGUCUUUCGGGAAACGUGGCCUCUUUACAAUGCUACGGCGGCAGGAGGAGCUCGCGGGCUAUCAGCUAGUUGGUGAGGUAACGGCUCACCAAGGCUACGACGGCUACGGGGUCUGAGAGGACGACCCCGCACAUUGGAACUGAGACACGGUCCAGACUCCUACGGGAGGCAGCAGAGGGGAAUAUUGGGCAAUGGCCGAAAGGCUGACCCAGCGACGCCGCGUGUGGGAGGAAGCCCUUCGGGGUGUAAACCACUGUCAGGAGGGACGAAAGAGCGGGGAGUGAAUAAUUCUCCGCAGUGACGGUACCUUCAAAGGAAGCACCGGCUAACUCUGUGCCAGCAGCCGCGGUAAUACAGAGGGUGCAAGCGUUGUUCGGAAUUACUGGGCGUAAAGCGCGCGCAGGCGGGUCCUGUAAGUCGGAAGUGAAAUUUCACGGCUCAACCGUGAAGCUGCUUCUGAUACUGCGGAUCUGGAGAUCGGUAGAGGUCGGUAGAAUUACAGGUGUAGCGGUGGAAUGCGUAGAUAUCUGUAAGAAUACCCGUGGCGAAGCGGCCGACUGGGCCGGAUCUGACGCUGAGGCGCGAAAGCGUGGGGAGCAAACAGGAUUAGAUACCCUGGUAGUCCACGCCGUAAACGAUGGGCACUAGGUGCCGGGGGGGAGCGACCCCUUCGGUGCCGCAGCUAACGCGAUAAGUGCCCCGCCUGGGGGAGUACGGCCGCAAGGCUGAAACUCAAAGGAAUUGACGGGGGCCCGCACAAGCGGUGAA